GAAAGACGAUCUGGUCGAUCGGCCCGGCAUGUACGCACCGCGAGGUGUUUAGUGGACGGGUACGAAUCAGUCGAGGUCUUGACCUC
Molecule: ribosomal RNA, 86 nt
Filed under: Heliophilum fasciatum
Lineage: Bacteria; Bacillati; Bacillota; Clostridia; Eubacteriales; Heliobacteriaceae
Description: Bacterial large subunit ribosomal RNA
Rfam family: Bacterial large subunit ribosomal RNA
Source: Rfam by way of RNAcentral